RNAcentral lists this ribosomal RNA (465 nucleotides) under uncultured bacterium. Its description in RNAcentral is "partial 16S ribosomal RNA". It matches the Rfam family "Bacterial small subunit ribosomal RNA", at positions 338 to 795 of the family's 1533-position model. The record is from RNAcentral.
CCUACGGGGGGCAGCAGUAGGGAAUCUUCCACAAUGGGCGAAAGCCUGAUGGAGCAACGCCGCGUGGGUGAAGAAGGUCUUCGGAUCGUAAAACCCUGUUGUUAGAGAAGAAAGUGCGUGAGAGUAACUGUUCACGUUUCGACGGUAUCUAAACAGAAAGCCACGGCUAACUACGUGCCAGCAGCCGCGGUAAGACGUAGGUGGCAAGCGUUAUCCGGAUUUAUUGGGAGUAAAGGGAACGCAGGCGGUCUUGUAAGUCUGAUGUGAAAGCCUGCGGCUUAACCGGAGUAGUGCAUUGGAGACUGGGAGACGUGAGUGCAGAAGAGGAGAGUGGAACUCCAUGUGUAGCGGUGAAAUGCGUAGAUAUAUGGAAGAACACCAGUGGAGAAAGCGGCUCUCUGGUCUGUAACUGACGCUGAGGUUCGAAAGCGUGGGUAGCAAACAGGAUUAGAUACCCGAGUAGUC